AAAGCUGUUACAUAGCGAUUCUACUAUGGACAAUUCCUUCCGACCUUUAUUAGAUCCACGACAGACGACACCUCCUUCUUCUUCUCUAUGCGCUUGAUGGAUACCUUCAAUAUCUUCUCUACAUAGAAUCCUGGCGAACGGCUAUAAUUGUGCACACUUGCCUCCAUUAAUCUACAAAUCUGUUUAUAAAUCGCAGUAGCUGAGACUCGAAGCCUACACCUCUUAAUGUAGAAGCAUUAAUGAACAUUUUAUCAACCAUUGGACCAAAGGUACUUCCACCAAAUUAUUCCCAUUUAGUAUAUGA
This 304-nucleotide small RNA is filed under the name Arabidopsis thaliana (thale cress). RNAcentral's name for it is "ATSL081490". Lineage: Eukaryota; Viridiplantae; Streptophyta; Magnoliopsida; Brassicales; Brassicaceae. The record is from RNAcentral.